UUUUGGUGUACUUGCUUGAUUAACGUCUACUUCCUCAACGGGGCUGUAAGCUCCAUGAGGUGCACAAAGACUUCAUCUCCCAGUCUCCUUUGCGGUUAGAUUGGUACCAGGAGACUAGCUCUGCCGAUGGGCUGUAACCAGAUGUGGUGUGCAUUACUUCCAAGAACCCAGACCUUCAGAGACCUUGCAGCUUCUGCCUUCGCCAUCUUGAGAUCCUGAGAUACUUCAUGCUAUACAGAAGCCCAGUUUAGUCGACACGAAGGAUAGUCACUGGGCCCCAACAGACAGCCAGUGCCAACUACCAGACAUAGCAAUUCCUCCUGAGGAACGAACAGCUUCUGCACAACACACGCCAGAGGGAUCACACAG
This 369-nucleotide long non-coding RNA is filed under the name Equus asinus (donkey). Its description in RNAcentral is "lncRNA (ENSEASG00005036287.1)". Lineage: Eukaryota; Metazoa; Chordata; Mammalia; Perissodactyla; Equidae. The record is from RNAcentral.